AGCACUCUUGGUUUAUCCACUCACUGGUUGUUCCUAUAAUCUGGGACAGUAUGAAAAAAUGCUGCUGCAGAAGUCUGUCUAUAGGUUUUUACUUAGACCUAUGAUCAAUUCUUUACAAUGCCGGGGGACUAAGUCUAAUGCCUCCCUCACAUAUGCUAGCAAGCAGCCUUGCCACCAAACUAGUUGAAGUCAACUUUUAAAUCAUCUGAUAACUUACACAUGACCAUUUGACAACUCCUAUACUAUUUUCCAAAGCAGAUAAAACAUUCUCCAUAAACAGAAUUCCACUUCUUCCACAUUUUGAUGGAUUUUUAAAAAUUAGUCACUCUACUGAAUAUGAAGAAAAUCAACUGUUUAAGGAUAGGAUCAUAUGAACAAAAAUAGGGAACUGCAAUGGAUCAAAACACAUCUAAUACAUUACGUCCACAAGACCAUGAUAAUAUUGGAAAAACUUACUGGUCAAUUUUGGAGAAUCAACUCAGUAUUAUAUAACAAAAUAAUCAGAAGUAAUCAACCAUUUAAUUGCUUUCCCUAGGUUUUUUUUUUAUUUUCUAGGUUAACCAAGCAAUGAAAACUUCUUUUUACAAAAUUACAUCAGUUAAUAAAUGAAGUAUGAGAGAUACAAAA
This is a non-coding RNA of Rattus norvegicus (Norway rat), 627 nucleotides long. Lineage: Eukaryota; Metazoa; Chordata; Mammalia; Rodentia; Muridae. The record is from RefSeq and is a predicted model, not a curated record.